AGCGAACGCUGGCGGCAGGCCUAACACAUGCAAGUCGAACGAACUCUUCGGAGUUAGUGGCGGACGGGUGAGUAACACGUGGGAACGUGCCUUUUGGUUCGGAAUAACUCAGGGAAACUUGUGCUAAUACCGAAUGUGCCCUUCGGGGGAAAGAUUUAUCGCCAUUAGAGCGGCCCGCGUCUGAUUAGCUAGUUGGUGAGGUAACGGCUCACCAAGGCGACGAUCAGUAGCUGGUCUGAGAGGAUGACCAGCCACACUGGGACUGAGACACAGCCCAGACUCCUACGGGAGGCAGCAGUGGGGAAUCUUGCGCAAUGGGCGAAAGCCUGACGCAGCCAUGCCGCGUGAAUGAUGAAGGUCUUAGGAUUGUAAAAUUCUUUCACCGGGGACGAUAAUGACGGUACCCGGAGAAGAAGCCCCGGCUAACUUCGUG
RNAcentral lists this ribosomal RNA (433 nucleotides) under uncultured bacterium. RNAcentral describes it as "partial 16S ribosomal RNA". It matches the Rfam family "Bacterial small subunit ribosomal RNA", at positions 29 to 507 of the family's 1533-position model. The record is from RNAcentral.